RNAcentral lists this ribosomal RNA (253 nucleotides) under uncultured bacterium. RNAcentral describes it as "partial 16S ribosomal RNA". It matches the Rfam family "Bacterial small subunit ribosomal RNA", at positions 524 to 776 of the family's 1533-position model. The record is from RNAcentral.
GACGGAGGGAGCUAGCGUUGUUCGGAAUGACUGGGCGUAAAGGGCGCGUAGGCGGUUUUUUAAGUGAGGCGUGAAAGCCCUGGGCUUAACCCAGGAGGUGCGUUUCAGACUGGAAGACUUGAGGACGAGAGAGGAAAGUGGAAUUCCUAGUGUAGAGGUGAAAUUCGUAGAUAUUAGGAAGAACACCAGUGGCGAAGGCGGCUCACUGGACGACUGUUGACGCUGAGGUGCGAAAGCGUGGGGAGCAAACAGG